GAGGAAGUCCCCUGUUGAAGACUUGGUCACUUGUCUUCGUCAUAUCGUCAAUGUACCAGAACGUCUUCCUUUGUUUGAUGACAUCCGCCCAUUUGUACGCAAUGAACACCAGAUGAAGUACAACGUUUCUAUCCCCUAUUUUCGCACACGUUUAAGACAGGUCCAUUUGAAACGACGUGGGAACGCUCCACUUGGCUUUACCAUAAGGGGUGGAUGUGAAUACGGGACUGGUGUCUUUAUUUCAGAGGUCGAUUCAGGAUCUGAAGGGGAACGUAAAGGACUGCGGGU
Molecule: long non-coding RNA, 288 nt
Organism: Limulus polyphemus (Atlantic horseshoe crab)
Lineage: Eukaryota; Metazoa; Arthropoda; Merostomata; Xiphosura; Limulidae
Exons: 3
Source: RefSeq, a predicted model, not a curated record